Molecule: long non-coding RNA, 955 nt
Filed under: Homo sapiens (human)
Lineage: Eukaryota; Metazoa; Chordata; Mammalia; Primates; Hominidae
Description: non-protein coding DLEU7-AS1:3
Source: RNAcentral
AUCAGCAUGUGCAAAGAUGAAGAGGCAUAAGGACUGACCAGUGGGUCACGGCAAUGAGACAUUUACUGCUGACCUCCAAGAGAAGACUUCCAUUGAAUGAGAGGAAGAUCUACACUACUAAUGAUCAAACUUACCUGGAGCAGUAUCUGACACAGAUAUGUGUUGAGUGAAUGGAUGAAUAAAUAGAUAGAAGGAAGAUCCUCCAACUAUGAAGUUUCUUCUUUUCUUCUGCUGCUGUUGAGUAGAUGAGGGUGCCAAGAAAUAAGACAGCAACACCAGGAAGAAGAACAAAUUUGGGGCACUGCUGCUGUACUGAGAAUACAGCUGUGAACAACAUCCCUGUCGCUUUCGUUCUAGAGAGGAAAAACAGGAUCUCUAAUGCCUGUCAUCUGCGCCAUGGGCUUUAGUUCAAGUGAGUCUUCCUCCUACCUUCCGUGCUUUGGUGGAUGAUUUCAAGUUUAAGAGUGACGGAAUGCCAUGAAUUUUCAUGCUGCCUACAUUUCAGUAAGACAACCUUGCUGGAUUUCCCCCUCCAUUUUGGAUUAUAAAAUCUAACCCCUGCGGAACAUCCUUUCACUUGGAGAGAAAAAUUUACUUGGAAAAAUUUCACUUGGAGAGAAAACCAAGAAAGCUUCUUGGUUUCCUGAACUAUUUUGAUUAUCUGUGUAGAUAUGGCUUAUAGUAUUGAAAUGAGGUGGCAGAAAGAGUAGUAGUGAUAAAAAUGGAGAAGAGAAAGGUCAAGUGAGUUUCAGUGAUUUUGCCAACUAAAUUCUAGGAUCCUUAAUGAAAAAAAUGUGACCACCUUUAUCACUUUCCAGGAUCAUCCUGUAUUUUCAAGUUUCAGUAGGUACCCUUUUACUGUGAUGGAAAGAAAUGCUUGACUUGGGUCUAUAUAUUUAAAUUUAUUUUUAUUUUUUAUUUUUAUUUAUUUAUUUAUUUUUGAGACAGAGUCUUG